Molecule: long non-coding RNA, 687 nt
Filed under: Triticum aestivum (bread wheat)
Lineage: Eukaryota; Viridiplantae; Streptophyta; Magnoliopsida; Poales; Poaceae
Description: long non-coding RNA (TAES_LNC004049)
Source: RNAcentral
GGGAAAAUAUGAAUCUCGAUAUUUACUCUUAUGAUUGGCACAACAAACAACAAGAUAUCACCGCCUCCACAUUUACAACAGGCUUGAACAGACAGGAACACUAUACGUUAACACAUCCACUCAACUCUGUAAGCUUUCUAGACUCAAAACAAACAAGCGAGCGUGCACAUGCACUAAAUACAAGGCUCUGAAGAGAGCCCGCUAAAGACUUUCCGAAGCAAUCCGCUCGGAUCCAGUAAAGAUCAACAAAAGGGAUUUCCACAAGACGGCAUCGAUGAAAACUUGAUGCGACAAAGCGAGGGCAAGAGAUUCACCCAGGAAGCAAUGCUUACAUGCAAAGCCAUGGGUUGAAGGCUCAGGUUGGAUCAGGGUUUCAACACAACUUUUUCCAGGCAUGAUCCAAAAAAAUUGCAGUUAUUGGCCAAUUCUCCCCCCGAUGUUCAAACUUAAAAAUCUUGGUGGUUGACAUCUGGCCUGUCAAAAUACAUGUAUGAAAAUUGGAAUCUAGUUAGCACACACUCUUGAUUUAUUCUAGUCCGCCAUAAUAGGCUGAACAAACGGCUGUACCUAGUUCGCCAUAAUAGGCUGAACUGCAAUAUAUGAAUAUGGAGUGCAAAUCUAUACCUGGAGUACGGUCACAUCAUCUACGUUUCACAGAGUUUGCGCCUCUAACAGCCUUAAUCUGUU